GAAGGUGUAGCUCAAGUGGUAGAGUGCAUGCUUAGCAUGCAUGACGUCCUGGGUUCAAUCCCUUGUGCCGUCU
Molecule: transfer RNA, 73 nt
Filed under: Camelus bactrianus (Bactrian camel)
Lineage: Eukaryota; Metazoa; Chordata; Mammalia; Artiodactyla; Camelidae
Also listed under: 2 other names
Rfam family: tRNA
About the family: Transfer RNA (tRNA) molecules are approximately 80 nucleotides in length. Their secondary structure includes four short double-helical elements and three loops (D, anti-codon, and T loops).
Source: Rfam by way of RNAcentral